CCUACGGGAGGCAGCAGUGGGGAAUAUUGCACAAUGGGCGCAAGCCUGAUGCAGCGACGCCGCGUGAGGGAUGACGGCCUUCGGGUUGUAAACCUCUUUCAGUAGGGAAGAAGCGAAAGUGACGGUACCUGCAGAAGAAGCGCCGGCUAACUACGUGCCAGCAGCCGCGGUAAUACGUAGGGCGCAAGCGUUAUCCGGAAUUAUUGGGCGUAAAGAGCUCGUAGGCGGCUUGUCGCGUCUGCCGUGAAAGUCCGGGGCUCAACUCCGGAUCUGCGGUGGGUACGGGCAGACUAGAGCGAUGUAGGGGAGACUGGAAUUCCUGGUGUAGCGGUGAAAUGCGCAGAUAUCAGGAGGAACACCGAUGGCGAAGGCAGGUCUCUGGGCAUUAACUGACGCUGAGGAGCGAAAGCAUGGGGAGCGAACAGGAUUAGAUACCCUGGUAGUCCAUGCCGUAAACGUUGGGCACUAGGUGUGGGGGACAUUCCACGUUUUCCGCGCCGUAGCUAACGCAUUAAGUGCCCCGCCUGGGGAGGUACGGCCGCGAGAACGUAAACGUACAANAGUAGUUAGAGGCGUUGNGACGNGCCGACGGACGACGACGAGGGAGGAGG
Molecule: ribosomal RNA, 611 nt
Filed under: uncultured bacterium
Lineage: Bacteria
Description: bacterial SSU rRNA
Rfam family: Bacterial small subunit ribosomal RNA (bases 1-525)
Source: RNAcentral